UACGUAGGGUGCAAGCGUUGUCCGGAAUUAUUGGGCGUAAAGAGCUCGUAGGCGGUCUGUCGCGUCUGCUGUGAAAACUCGGAGCUCAACUCCGAGCCUGCGUUCGAUACUGGACGGCUAGAGUCUGGUAGGGGGAUCUGGAAUUCCUGGUGUAGCGGUGGAAUGCGCAGAUAUCAGGAGGAAUACCGGUGGCGAAGGCGGGAUCCUGGGCCAGUACUGACGCUGAGGAGCGAAAGCGUGGGGAGCAAACAGG
Molecule: ribosomal RNA, 253 nt
Filed under: uncultured bacterium
Lineage: Bacteria
Description: partial 16S ribosomal RNA
Rfam family: Bacterial small subunit ribosomal RNA
Source: RNAcentral